This 467-nucleotide ribosomal RNA is filed under the name uncultured bacterium. Its description in RNAcentral is "partial 16S ribosomal RNA". It matches the Rfam family "Bacterial small subunit ribosomal RNA", at positions 28 to 507 of the family's 1533-position model. The record is from RNAcentral.
GAUGAACGCUGGCGGCGCGCCUAACACAUGCAAGUCGAACGAUUAAAGCACCUUCGGGUGUGUAUAAAGUGGCGAACGGCUGAGCAACACGUGGGCAACCUGCCCCUUUCAUUGGGAUAGCCACGGGAAACCGUGGAUAAUACCGAAUACUUCGAGACUUCCGCAUGGAAGACUCGAGAAAGCUCCGGCGGAGAGGGAUGGGCCCGCGGCCUGUUAGCUUGUUGGUGGGGUAACGGCCUACCAAGGCAAUGAUGGGUAGCUGGGUUGAGAGACCGACCAGCCAGAUUGGGACUGAGACACGGCCCAGACUCCUACGGGAGGCAGCAGUGGGGAAUCUUGCACAAUGGGCGAAAGCCUGAUGCAGCGACGCCGCGUGCGGGAUGAAGGCCUUCGGGUUGUAAACCGCUUUCAGCAGGGACGAGGCGAAAGUGACGGUACCUGCAGAAGAAGCCCCGGCUAACUACGUG